CAAGAUGAGAGCUCCUUUUCGAGGGCCGUCCCAGACGAGGACGUCGAUAGGGCGCAGGUGUAAAGGCGGCGACGCCAAAGCCGAGCGCUACUAAUUGCCCGAACCUUU
RNAcentral lists this ribosomal RNA (108 nucleotides) under Prevotella sp. KH2C16. RNAcentral's name for it is "23S rRNA. Bacterial LSU". It matches the Rfam family "Bacterial large subunit ribosomal RNA", at positions 2800 to 2925 of the family's 2925-position model. Lineage: Bacteria; Pseudomonadati; Bacteroidota; Bacteroidia; Bacteroidales; Prevotellaceae. The record is from RNAcentral.